AGUUUGAUCCUGGCUCAGGAUGAACGCUGGCGGCGUGCCUAAUACAUGCAAGUCGAGCGAACAGAUAAGGAGCUUGCUCCUUUGAAGUUAGCGGCGGACGGGUGAGUAACACGUGGGUAACCUACCUAUAAGACUGGGAUAACUUCGGGAAACCGGAGCUAAUACCGGAUAACAUUUAGAACCGCAUGGUUCUAAAGUGAAAGAUGGUUUUGCUAUCACUUAUAGAUGGACCCGCGCCGUAUUAGCUAGUUGGUAAGGUAACGGCUUACCAAGGCGACGAUACGUAGCCGACCUGAGAGGGUGAUCGGCCACACUGGAACUGAGACACGGUCCAGACUCCUACGGGAGGCAGCAGUAGGGAAUCUUCCGCAAUGGGCGAAAGCCUGACGGAGCAACGCCGCGUGAGUGAUGAAGGGUUUCGGCUCGUAAAACUCUGUUAUUAGGGAAGAACAAAUGUGUAAGUAACUGUGCACAUCUUGACGGUACCUAAUCAGAAAGCCACGGCUAACUACGUGCCAGCAGCCGCGGUAAUACGUAGGUGGCAAGCGUUAUCCGGAAUUAUUGGGCGUAAAGCGCGCGUAGGCGGUUUCUUAAGUCUGAUGUGAAAGCCCACGGCUCAACCGUGGAGGGUCAUUGGAAACUGGGAAACUUGAGUGCAGAAGAGGAAAGUGGAAUUCCAUGUGUAGCGGUGAAAUGCGCAGAGAUAUGGAGGAACACCAGUGGCGAAGGCGACUUUCUGGUCUGUAACUGACGCUGAUGUGCGAAAGCGUGGGGAUCAAACAGGAUUAGAUACCCUGGUAGUCC
Molecule: ribosomal RNA, 804 nt
Filed under: Staphylococcus xylosus
Lineage: Bacteria; Bacillati; Bacillota; Bacilli; Caryophanales; Staphylococcaceae
Description: bacterial SSU rRNA
Rfam family: Bacterial small subunit ribosomal RNA
Source: RNAcentral